Molecule: ribosomal RNA, 242 nt
Filed under: uncultured bacterium
Lineage: Bacteria
Description: partial 16S ribosomal RNA
Rfam family: Bacterial small subunit ribosomal RNA
Source: RNAcentral
UACGAAGGGGGCUAGCGUUGUUCGGAAUUACUGGGCGUAAAGCGCGCGUAGGCGGUGAUCUUUGUCAGAGGUGAAAGCCUGGGGCUCAACUCCAGAAUUGCCUUUGAAACGGGAUCGCUUGAGUCCGAGAGAGGAUGGCGGAAUUCCUAGUGUAGAGGUGAAAUUCGUAGAUAUUAGGAAGAACACCGGUGGCGAAGGCGGCCAUCUGGCUCGGUACUGACGCUCAGGCGCGAAAGCGUGGG